This 31-nucleotide transfer RNA is filed under the name Pimelea sp. 'Pipinui'. RNAcentral's name for it is "partial tRNA-Leu". The record is from RNAcentral. Lineage: Eukaryota; Viridiplantae; Streptophyta; Magnoliopsida; Malvales; Thymelaeaceae.
AAAUCCGUCGACUUUUAAAAUCGUGAGGGUC